This 229-nucleotide non-coding RNA is filed under the name Companilactobacillus nodensis. Its description in RNAcentral is "Lactobacillus nodensis T-box sequence". It matches the Rfam family "T-box leader". Rfam says of the family: Uncharged tRNA acts as the effector for transcription antitermination of genes in the T-box leader family. T-boxes are found upstream of many aminoacyl-tRNA synthetase genes and some amino acid biosynthetic genes usually in Gram-positive bacteria. The record is from RNAcentral. Lineage: Bacteria; Bacillati; Bacillota; Bacilli; Lactobacillales; Lactobacillaceae.
AUAAUAGUGAUGAUUAGGAAAAGUAGUAAUGACCGCUCCGAAAAGAGAGUCCUCUAAGCUGAGAUCAGGAUGGAAGUUAUUUACGAACACACACCUAUGAACUGUGGAGCUGAACUCAAGUAGGCUUCACCGAGUGGAUUCGUUAUCCAAGUUGACUUAGCCAACAUGAGGUCUGAUUCGUAAGGGUCAGAUAAAAUGAGGUGGAACCACGUUUAAUAGCGUCCUCUUA